AGCGGCAGAGGGUAGUGCAAUCAGACAACGCCCUCGCCUUUUACUAGGGCGUUCCGUGUUCUGCCCUCACUUCAAUGCCGCAUUACCAAUUUUUCAGACCUCAGUCCCCUCUGAGAU
This 117-nucleotide small nuclear RNA is filed under the name Jaapia argillacea MUCL 33604. RNAcentral's name for it is "U5 spliceosomal RNA". It matches the Rfam family "U5 spliceosomal RNA". Rfam says of the family: U5 RNA is a component of both types of known spliceosome. The precise function of this molecule is unknown, though it is known that the 5' loop is required for splice site selection and p220 binding, and that both the 3' stem-loop and the Sm site are important for Sm protein binding and cap methylation. The record is from Rfam by way of RNAcentral. Lineage: Eukaryota; Fungi; Basidiomycota; Agaricomycetes; Jaapiales; Jaapiaceae.